Molecule: non-coding RNA, 1592 nt
Organism: Zootermopsis nevadensis
Lineage: Eukaryota; Metazoa; Arthropoda; Insecta; Blattodea; Termopsidae
Source: RefSeq, a predicted model, not a curated record
UGUCAAUGGUAUCUUACUUUGAAGGAACUACAUAGAUUGUGUUUGAAAACAGGGUGCCCAAGAGGAUAUAUGGACCAAGAAGGGAUGAAAUACGGGGAAUUUAGGAUAUUGCAUGACGAGGAGCUGGGUGAAUUGUACGGGUCACCUGGCAUAGUGAGAAUCGUGAAAUCUAAGAGGCUCCGAUGGGCUCUACGUAGAGCACGCAUGGGGGUCCAAACAGAACUUUGGUGGGAAAUCCUUCUGGAAAACGCAACUGUGCAGACGAAGAGGGGGAUGGGAGGAUAAUAUCAAGAUGGAUCUUAGGGAGGUGAGCUGUGAAGAUGACAAAUGGAUGGAGUUGGCUCAGGAUCAUGGCAGGUGGCGGGCACAUGGUACCUUUACAAGUCUAUGGAACUUAAAAUUAAUAAUACUGUCGGAGUGGGGAAAUUUGAAUACUCAAAGCAAGAAGUGACAUUAGUAACUGUUGGUUAUACUGGUUUCCAAUCGGUAAGAUGGCAGCAAAGAAGGCAAGAUGCAUGUGCUUUUGAAAGGAAGUCAAUAUCGUGACACGAAGAAAUGAACAAGAAAACACGAAAUGCUUCCGUGGAACUUGGCUUUUUUGAAGGUGUUCGUGGAAUAAGAGUGUAAGAUCACGACCACUCAAAACAUUCUUCAUCCACUCUAUGAAGACUGUAGAUAUCAAGGCAAGCCAAUUCGAAAUCACAGUUACCUCGUUUCAGUGAUGAACCAUGUGUAUAUAGCCAGUCAGGGAUCAUCAAUAUGUAAGGUUCAUGACAAAACAUCCUGUCAAUGACGUUUAGAGAGGUGAACUGAAUUUCUUUACUUAAUAUAAAAAACAAGAUGUUUAUGCAGAAGUCCAUAAGGGAACAAAAAAUACUUUAUAAAAUAUAGUUUAAUUGAAUAAGCAUUUCAUUAACAUUUCCGUAUACCCACGACACAAACAUAUUAAACAUUAAUCUAAUGAAAGUAUCACACAGUGCCAACUUCAAACUGAAAAUGUUUUACUCCAGUUCAAUGCCAUAUAGUCUGAGCUACUGAUAGCGUCAUUAAAUAAACCAUAAAUAAAUAAAAUAAAUUUCGGCAGAAAGUGAUAUUGCGUUCGUAAAGAAAGCAUGUUGACGUGAAGACUCUUACCGACCACAUCACGCCGCCGCUGAGCCUUCCCCAGCUUCACAGCACAUUUGGUAAGCACAGUUCCGAUAUCAUCUGUUGGUUCAUCCAGACCCAUGAUUUCCAGGUAUCUGUACAAGUUACAAAACAACACAAAAGCUGUAGGAUAAUAAGUGAAGGCUGCGAUAUUGCAUUUAACUCGCUUUCAGAAUAUUAUGUGGUCAGCUCUAUACCCAGCACAAUGUAGACAUUACAUUACAGCAAAGGACCAAAUUCAUGAAGCUACGUCAGCCUUACAGCUGUUUACUGCCUUGCAGAAGCUCUUAACGUUAAGAAUAUGCCGGUAAACAAAGUAAUGACAGCCCAAAUGUUCACCAUCACCUGGCCUAAAAACACUGACCUAUGUGUAAUAUUUUGUUACAUUAUCCUUGGUCUUUUGAGUGCCUGGAUUAGAAAAGAAUAAAAUGAUUACUUUACCUGAA